RNAcentral lists this transfer RNA (72 nucleotides) under Orchesella cincta. It matches the Rfam family "tRNA". From Rfam's summary of the family: Transfer RNA (tRNA) molecules are approximately 80 nucleotides in length. The record is from Rfam by way of RNAcentral. Lineage: Eukaryota; Metazoa; Arthropoda; Collembola; Entomobryomorpha; Orchesellidae.
GGUCCAAUGGUCUAGAGGUAUGAUUCUCGCCUUGGUUGCGAGAGGUCCCGGGUUCAAAUCCCGGUUAGACCU